RNAcentral lists this long non-coding RNA (1902 nucleotides) under Homo sapiens (human). Its description in RNAcentral is "HSALNT0296092". Lineage: Eukaryota; Metazoa; Chordata; Mammalia; Primates; Hominidae. The record is from RNAcentral.
AUUACAGGCAUGAGCCACUGCGCCCGGCCAGAAACAGACAUUCUUAUUCCUACAGAGCCCGUCAUGACAACAGCUGCCCUGCAGCACCUCUUCCAGACAUCACAAUGGGAAACAGGAAAUACGCUGUCCCUCUCCAACCUCUGCCUUCAUCUCCCCUCCCCUUGUACAAGUUCCUUCACAGAAGUUCUUUCACAUAAAUUUUGUGCAAAUGGAUUCCUGUGGACUUCAACUCUGACAAGUCUGAAUCCCAGUGGAAAUGCAAGUUAGCCUCAAACUGAGAACCUCAUACUACAUUCAGAAUAUGUUUUCAUGUUUCCAAAAUGUCACCAACAAUGAGAUGACAGGAACCUGAACCAAAAGGAUGAGAGUAGAGAUGGAAAGUAAAUGUUGUUACAAAGGCUAAAUCAGAAAUUUGUCCCAGAUCUAGUAUGGAUCAUGAAGAAGAAGAUAGAAUGAAAGAACACUCUUACCAUUCUGAGUGCCGAAAGCAGGAGGUGGUUCCUAAAAAUAUGAAGUUUGGGUAUCCUAUACAAUGAGAGAAGAAUGUCUAUCUUCAUUAUGUUCAAGUACCCAGAUAAAUGAACCUGCUGUUAUAAGGGGGAGACAUGACAAGCUUUACGUGUUGAAAAUACAAAGAGCCUGACCCUACAGGAAUCUUUCUUUCUGGCCUUUUUCAUCGAAACAAGGAAAGACUCUAUCUUUUGGGGGACCAGCUUUGUCAGUGACACUUCUGCUGAAGACAAGAUGAAUGAUGCAGGCAAUGUUGAAUGCUACUGGAUAUCAAAACCUGAUAAUUUUUAGGGAUACAGAAAAGAAGAGAGAAGCUUGAACUGUUGAUUCAAGUCCUAUUGAGUGGUCACUAAAUUCACUCAUACUACAAGUUCAGAUACGCAGAGAAAAUACAAAUUCUUUAUUGUCUAUAGCUGAUUGCUUCCUGCCAGGUCUCUAGUCAUUGGUUAACAGGAAUAAACAAGUGUAUUACAUAGUUAGUCUUAGUCCUAUGCAGUAAUUUCUACAGUUCAUUUAGAUAGUAGCCUCUCAUUUGGAGAAAAACACAGUCUCUCAGGUAACCUUCCCCACCCUUGUCUCUCUUCCCAAGAUCUUGUUGAAACCAAGGGCUAAUCUUUUUAGUCACUUGCUUUUUGUUGAUUGUUUUUAACCCAUGUAGCUGAAAGCCACACUGCUAAACACUAUAACUUAACCUUCAUGAGCUCCUUUAGAGAUAAUGCUUCUGAUGUAUAUGUCACCAUGGUAACAAUUGCUUAAGUUGUUUUCAGGAACUUGGGGGUCAGCUUUUGUCCAACUUAAACCAGUUAAGACCACUGACCUUUCAACUGGGCCUGCACAAAUGCUCAAGAGGUGAGCUUUUGAUGUCAAAGAGCCAAAGAUUCUUCUCUCAAAUCGUGAUAACACCACCAUUUUCUGAACAUGCAUCCUAUAAGGAGCCAUGAACACCAACUACACUUGUACACAUCAUCAGUUACCUCAUUUAUCCCUACUGCCAAUCACUUUUCUUCAUGCUUUAGACCACCUCGCUUCUUUACCCCAUGAAUAUCCCUGAGCCAGCCUUAUCUUCAGGGAAGCCGAUUUGAGAGCUGUUCUCCUGUCUCCUCUCUGGGUUUCCCUAUGAAUAAAUCUUUCUCUACUGCAAAACUCAUUAUAUCAGUAAUUUGCUGUCUGCAUGAUGGGCAGAAUGAGCUUGGUUUUGUAUCAAUAUCGGGUAGUAGUGAGAAGGGUGUGUGGGUGAUGCUUCAUAGGUGGAGAAAAGAGGAAAAAGUCUCCCUGUCUCUGCGUGUACCCACCGGUCUCCAGAUCUCUACUGUUGUCCUCCUGCUGGUUGUAAUUCUGUAAUGAUUAAUUUGAUAUGUCAACUUAACUAGGCCAUGAUACUCUCAUAUUUCA